UUUUUUUUUUUCAAUUGAGGUAAAAUUUUCCAGCAGUAGCAGCAUUUAAGAAACAGCCUUUUCAAUUUCCUUCAUUAGAGACGUUUAGCUAGAAUUAGAGCAGUACAAUUGUUCAGAUGAUUUAAGGCUUUGAAAAAAAAACAGAUUUUUUUUUUUUUUUUUAACAUUGAAGUAAUUAAAAAAAAAAAAGGAGCUGACUAGGUGCAAUCACUGCUCUUCAUCUUUUUCAGUCAUUUCCCUCCUCUGCCACCUUUUCUUUGUUUGCUGUUCAGUUCCCUGCUGGCCGUCUUUUUUCUUGUCCACCCGUUCCCCACUUGCUGUAUUCUUUCUUAUCUUCAUUUACUGGCUGAUGCAGCAUUGCCAGCUCCUUUGAUCUGCUUAAACAAACCACACUGCAAAAGCAGUACCUGUCUGCUGCGUCUUUGAUAGGAAAGUGUGGGACCUGUCUGAGGCCCCGUUGUCCUUCAGCAUCAAGGGUAGAAAAUAUUUUAAGGACAUGCUGCUCAGCAGCUGUGGCGUGUUAUCUCUUAUGACUGGUCAGCAAGAAUUUCCCUCUAGACUUCAGUCUGUAGACUCAUAAACUCUUUUAUAAAGUGUCUGGCAUCUGCUCUCAGGAAAGUGAUUCAGGGAUAAGCAAGACCUGCGUUGGUUAAUGAGAUUAUUCAUAGGUGAUUUUUAAUAGGUGAUCUUGUAUGUUGAAUAGCAGAUGUAAUUAAUAGUGCUUUUCCCAAUUUUGGUGGAAGUGUUCUAGCAGCAGAGAUAAUCAGUUCACAUCCCCAAUAGCGCAGACAUACCUGGGGUGCUGCUGCUAAUUUUCAGUCGGAGCAGUUGCCCUGGUAAUUUUAAUAACAUUGCCAGAAAGCUCACAGGGAAUUCAAGGUGAACAAGCAGACCUGCACACAGCAGAAGCUGCACCAUCUCCCAGCACAGCCCCUUUGCCUUGGCUCUGAGAGAAAACAGGUGACAUAGGUCAAGGUAAUCCAUUAUCGUCAGAGACCAAAUGUUUCUGGGGACCUGUCGCUGCCCACCAGGCCACAGUGGUUUUGUGGAUAUGCAAGGAAGAGGAAGGCCAGGCAAAGCAAUGUGCUGGGAAGCACAAAGAGCAAUGCAAGUUGCUCAUCUCCUAUGUGAGAAGUGGUGAGGUGUCUACUGUCUUUCUUGCAAGAGGUCCGAAAGCCUCUCCCUUGGAGAGGAGCCAUGAGGAGGGAAUGUGAGAUAAAGAAAAUAUCUUUUUCUACCAUCCUGAAGAUUGAUAUUUAUUCAGGCUAGCUCCCUCUUGCUUUCAGAAUUAAUAAUAGCAGUAAUACUGAAGCUGUCUGCAAUGGGGAAUGUACACAGUCUUGGUGGCUUAAAACAUUUUGAUUCAACAAAAUUAGUCAGGCAGUCCUAUUGGCAAGGUAAUUGAAGCGGGACUGCCAUCCAAUUUAUCUCCAGCUGGUGUGGCUUGAUGAUUCCUGCAGACCUGACCUUUGCUGCAGGAAAUACUGAGCAAUAGCCAU
RNAcentral lists this long non-coding RNA (1499 nucleotides) under Strigops habroptila (Kakapo). Its description in RNAcentral is "lncRNA (ENSSHBG00005007549.1)". Lineage: Eukaryota; Metazoa; Chordata; Aves; Psittaciformes; Psittacidae. The record is from RNAcentral.